Myodes glareolus (Bank vole) is the source of this 634-nucleotide non-coding RNA. The record is from RefSeq and is a predicted model, not a curated record. NCBI's taxonomy places the organism in Eukaryota, Metazoa, Chordata, Mammalia, Rodentia, Cricetidae.
GGAACUGCUCUGAACCUAUAGCAGAGCUAUAGGGGAACAGAGAGGAUGCUAGCAGAAUGUGAAGCACCCAGAUGUCCAGUUGUGCCCUGAGAAGCACACCAGCAACAGACGGCGCUCAUCAGCUUGCUGUGGGAGUUAUCUCUAUCUACAAUUAGCUACAACCUCGCAACAUCACCCGGAAGUUACAACUCUUUAACCUCACAUCACAUGCACUCAUACACAGAAAGGCUGCGGAGCUAGUCACAAUGGUGGGGCCAAUUUAACAACCAGUCUGUCUUGACACUGGAGAGGUGGUCCGGUGGUUAAGAGUGCUGACUGCUCUUCCAGAGGACCCAGGUUCAGGUCUCAGCACCCACAUUGGUGACUCACAACUGCCUCUAACUUCAGUUGCAAGGGAUCCCUUCUAGCCUCCUUGGGCACCUGAAUAUGCUCCACAUCAGGGGAUUCAUGGGUGGUACUCUCACCUGGUUUAAAAAAAAAAUCAAUGACAACAAUCAAACACAUGUGAAGGUUGCAGGCCCUGAGGAGAAGCUCUAUUAUUGUUUUGCUAAAGGAUCAGGUUGUCAAACUGCCCUAGAAGUAUUUAUAUUUAUACCCAUAGAGCUGUGCUGCUCUUGGCCUUGACCAGAAAAGC